AAUAGCGUAUAUUAAAGUUGUUGCAGUUAAAAAGCUCGUAGUUGGACCUUGGGCCUGGACAGGCGGUCCGCCUCACGGCGUGUACUGUCUUGCUGGGCCUUUCCUCUUGGUGAUCUGUGGUUUCGGCCGCAGGGAACCAGGACCUUUACUUUGAAAAAAUUAGAGUGUUCAAAGCAGGCUUUACGCCAGAAUAUAUUAGCAUGGAAUAAUAAAAUAGGACGUGCGGUUCUAUUUUGUUGGUUUUUGGGAUCGCCGUAAUGAUUAAUAGGGACAGUCGGGGGCAUUAGUACUCACAUGCUAGAGGUGAAAUUCUUGGAUUUUGUGAAGACUAACUUCUGCGAAAGCAUUUGCCAAGGAUGUUUUCAUUAAUCAAGAACGAAGGUUAGGGUAUCGAAAACGAUUAGAUACCGUUGUAGUCUUAACUAGUAAACUAUGCCGACUAGGGAUCGGUCGAUGUUAUUUUCUUGACUCGAUCGGCACCCUUACGAGAAAUCAAAGUUUUUGGGUUCUGGGGGGAGUAUGGUCGCA
Molecule: ribosomal RNA, 528 nt
Filed under: Malassezia sympodialis
Lineage: Eukaryota; Fungi; Basidiomycota; Malasseziomycetes; Malasseziales; Malasseziaceae
Description: SSU rRNA
Rfam family: Eukaryotic small subunit ribosomal RNA
Source: RNAcentral